UGGGGAAUUUUGGACAAUGGGCGCAAGCCUGAUCCAGCCAUGCCGCGUGCGGGAAGAAGGCCUUCGGGUUGUAAACCGCUUUUGUCAGGGAAGAAAUCUUCUGAGUUAAUACCUCGGGAGGAUGACGGUACCUGAAGAAUAAGCACCGGCUAACUACGUGCCAGCAGCCGCGGUAAUACGUAGGGUGCAAGCGUUAAUCGGAAUUACUGGGCGUAAAGCGUGCGCAGGCGGUUUUGUAAGACAGAGGUGAAAUCCCCGGGCUCAACCUGGGAACUGCCUUUGUGACUGCAAGGCUUGAGUGCGGCAGAGGGGGGAUGGAAUUCCGCGUGUAGCAGUGAAAUGCGUAGAUAUGCGGAGGAACACCGAUGGCGAAGGCAAUCCCCUGGGCCUGCACUGACGCUCAUGCACGAAAGCGUGGGGAGCAAACAGGAUUAGAUAGCCCUGGCAAGUCCACGCCCUAAAACCGAUGUCAACUGGUUGUUGGGAAGGUUCCUUCUCAGUAACGUAGCUAACGCGUGAAGUUG
This 524-nucleotide ribosomal RNA is filed under the name uncultured bacterium. RNAcentral's name for it is "partial 16S ribosomal RNA". It matches the Rfam family "Bacterial small subunit ribosomal RNA", at positions 355 to 867 of the family's 1533-position model. The record is from RNAcentral.